RNAcentral lists this ribosomal RNA (460 nucleotides) under uncultured bacterium. Its description in RNAcentral is "partial 16S ribosomal RNA". It matches the Rfam family "Bacterial small subunit ribosomal RNA", at positions 338 to 795 of the family's 1533-position model. The record is from RNAcentral.
CCUACGGGUGGCAGCAGUGAGGAAUAUUGGUCAAUGGACGCGAGCCUGAACCAGCCAAGUCGCGUGAAGGAAGAAUGCCCUACGGGUUGUAAACUUCUUUUAUAAAGGAGUAAAGUGAGGCACGUGUGCCUUUUUGUAUGUACUUUAUGAAUAAGGAACGGCUAACUCCGUGCCAGCAGCCGCGGUAAUACGGAGGAUCCGAGUGUUGUCCGGAUUUAUUGGGUUUAAAGGGAGCGUAGUGGGGUUGUUAAGUCAGUUGUGAAAGUUUGCGGCUCAACCGUAAAAUUGCAAUUGAUACUGGCAGCCUUGAGUACAGUUGAGGUAGGUGGAAUUCGUGGUGUAGCGGUGAAAUGCUUAGAUAUCACGAAGAACUCCGAUGGCGAAGGCAGCUUACUAAACUGCCACUGACAUUGAUGCUCGAAAGUAUGGGUAUCAAACAGGAUUAGAUACCCCUGUAGUC